AGCGAACGUUUGCGGCGGGCCUAACACAUGCAAGUCGAACGGGCUGUUCUUCGGAGCAGUCAGUGGCGCACGGGUGCGUAACACGUAGGUAAUCAACCCUUGAGUUCGGGAUAACACUGCGAAAGAGGUGCUAAUACCGGAUGUGACGAUCGGAACUUCGGAACUGAUCGGGAAAGAUCCGCAAGGAUUGCUCGAGGACGAGCCUGCGGCCCAUCAGCUUGUUGGUGAGGUAAAAGCUCACCAAGGCUAAGACGGGUAGCUGGUCUGAGAGGAUGAUCAGCCACACUGGAACUGAGACACGGUCCAG
RNAcentral lists this ribosomal RNA (307 nucleotides) under uncultured bacterium. RNAcentral describes it as "bacterial SSU rRNA". It matches the Rfam family "Bacterial small subunit ribosomal RNA", at positions 29 to 334 of the family's 1533-position model. The record is from RNAcentral.